AGCAAAGUCAGCUAAAUAAGCUUUUGGGCCCAUACCCCAAAGAUGUGGGUUUGAACCCCACCUUCGCUA
RNAcentral lists this transfer RNA (69 nucleotides) under Menticirrhus littoralis (Gulf kingcroaker). RNAcentral describes it as "tRNA-Met". It matches the Rfam family "tRNA". Rfam says of the family: Transfer RNA (tRNA) molecules are approximately 80 nucleotides in length. Their secondary structure includes four short double-helical elements and three loops (D, anti-codon, and T loops). The record is from RNAcentral. Lineage: Eukaryota; Metazoa; Chordata; Actinopteri; Sciaenidae.